Molecule: small nucleolar RNA, 129 nt
Organism: Grammomys surdaster
Lineage: Eukaryota; Metazoa; Chordata; Mammalia; Rodentia; Muridae
Product: small nucleolar RNA SNORA40
Exons: 1
Source: RefSeq, a predicted model, not a curated record
GGCACUUAUUUGUGGGUUUUGCUGAAUCGGUGAACAAAGGCUUAAAGAUAUGCACAAAACGUAAGUCCAGUUUUGCAAUGAAGAACUCACUAUUUGGUAUGAGUUUUGAUAUAUAUCACAAGGGAUAUG